Non-coding RNA from Tupaia belangeri (northern tree shrew), 214 nucleotides. The record is from Rfam. NCBI's taxonomy places the organism in Eukaryota, Metazoa, Chordata, Mammalia, Scandentia, Tupaiidae.
GGGCUGUCUGUCUUUUCCAUCUGUGCUACAAAGUGAGCUGAGAAGGUCAGGGGUAAGUUCUACAGGCAAUACACAUGCCAGACUUUGGAGGCCAGUGUGCACAGCGAGUCCAGCCAUUCUCACAACACUAUGCACAUGUCAUGCUGGAGGGCAGAACAGCGGGUGUGCUGUCUGGAGGUCUCCUCCUGGAAUUUCAGUUGCCUAGCAACGAGAU